CAAUAGCAAGUGUGGUCAUAGAAUCUCUUUUUGGUAAGCUUAAUCCUAACACAACCUAUUUUUAAAAGAUACUAAGUGACAGAAAAGUAAACAGCCACCACUUUUUCAAAGGAAAGAAGAUUGUUCUAACAUUGUCCCUAAGAGCUUUCCAAGAACUGGUUGAUGCCAUUAGUAAAUAGAUGGCAACAAAGCAAAAGUCAA
This 201-nucleotide long non-coding RNA is filed under the name Nicotiana benthamiana. Its description in RNAcentral is "long non-coding RNA (NBEN_LNC009461)". Lineage: Eukaryota; Viridiplantae; Streptophyta; Magnoliopsida; Solanales; Solanaceae. The record is from RNAcentral.